AGUCGUGAUUCAGAUUUCAAGCACUCAGCAACUCUGGCAUUAAUUUGCUCUGCUCUGACAUUACACGCGUCUAAACUUCUACACACUGACUUCUACUUCUACACCCUUUGCCUUAGCACGCGUCUAUCGCUAGAGGAGAUCCCAACACAAUAACCAUGUCGUCUUGUCAUGGAAGGACUCAGUGGAGAUUCGUCCAAGUACAAAUCAUCAAGCUGCUCCAUUCAUCAGAUGCUGAUGUAAUGCGUUUAUAACGCUAAAUGUACGAUCAAUCCCAACAGGCUCAGAUUUAAUGAUCCUUGGGGCGCUGGUGCUGUGUUCUACCAUUUCGUGAGAGUAUGAGAUUACUCUCUCCAGCUCUAAAACUUUCUAGAGAAGGAUAUGAGUUCUUCAGGGAGGAGAACUACGUGAGGGAUGUGUUCUGGCUCUUCGAAAAUGUCCACAACAUGGAUGACGGUGAUCUCAAAACUUUAUAUGAGAAUCUGGGUGUGAAAUCCGUAUUGAUAGUCUCAACACUUCAAUGCCAUGGAGCAGGUGCCCACGUAUGGGGGUGUGGCAUCGCGGCCUGAACCCUGCCAUGAAGUGUGAGAGAUUUCUGGGCAAAUAUUUCUGGUAUGACGUCAUUGCACUGCAGAAAAGUCCAAAAACUGUUUCUCUCAAACUACAAGACUUUCUGGGGAAGAAAAUCAACAGGCAGGCCAAGUUUGAGGUGAUAAACACAGUCACAACUAGACAGAAUCUAAUAGAAACGAGCUGUAAUGGACGAGGACUCCUCACUCGUGCCGUUAAUGAAGGAGGUGGAGGCUGAGUUGGACUUUGUCCAACUCAUCAACAAAUCGCAGCCGAAACCGUGGGUGCCGCUGUGAGAGUUGAAGGAACG
This 877-nucleotide unclassified non-coding RNA is filed under the name Nilaparvata lugens (brown planthopper). Its description in RNAcentral is "uncharacterized LOC111054554, transcript variant X9". The record is from RNAcentral. Lineage: Eukaryota; Metazoa; Arthropoda; Insecta; Hemiptera; Delphacidae.